RNAcentral lists this ribosomal RNA (500 nucleotides) under uncultured bacterium. RNAcentral's name for it is "bacterial SSU rRNA". It matches the Rfam family "Bacterial small subunit ribosomal RNA", at positions 17 to 523 of the family's 1533-position model. The record is from RNAcentral.
UCCUGGCUCAGGAUAAACGCUGGCGGCGCACAUAAGACAUGCAAGUCGAACGGACUUAACCGAAAUGUUUACAUUUUGGAGCGGUUAGUGGCGGACUGGUGAGUAACACGUAAGCAACCUGCCUAUCAGAGGGGAAUAACAGUGAGAAAUCAUUGCUAAUACCGCAUAUGCCAUGAGUAUCGCCUGAUACAAAUGGGAAAGGAGCAAUCCGCUGAUAGAUGGGCUUGCGUCUGAUUAGAUAGUUGGUGUGGUAACGGCAUACCAAGUCGACGAUCAGUAGCCGGACUGAGAGGUUGAACGGCCACAUUGGGACUGAGAUACGGCCCAGACUCCUACGGGAGGCAGCAGUCGGGAAUAUUGCACAAUGGAGGAAACUCUGAUGCAGUGACGCCGCGUGCAGGAAGAAGGUUUUCGGAUUGUAAACUGCUUUAGACAGGGAAGAGAAAGGACAGUACCUGUAGAAUAAGCUCCGGCUAACUACGUGCCAGCAGCCGCGGUAA